Molecule: long non-coding RNA, 228 nt
Filed under: Brassica napus (rape)
Lineage: Eukaryota; Viridiplantae; Streptophyta; Magnoliopsida; Brassicales; Brassicaceae
Description: long non-coding RNA (BNAP_LNC019438)
Source: RNAcentral
AGGCGGAGAAGCUGGUGCCGAGCGAGUGCUUGUGAUAUCACGCUUUGAUGGCCUUCAUGGUGUGUUGGGCUCGAUGUGGGCCUCUUCUUGUUAAAAGAUUGGCCGAUCAUGGUAGGACCAUAGAGAUUUCAAGAAUCAAAAUCCUCGGUAUAAUGAUUUGAACGGCAUGGACCGAGUAAAAACAUUUUAUAAGCCUUGGUUUGCUACCGAGUAAAUGAAAUAUGGUAG